UCUCCCACUCAAAGUUCAAGAAUAAGAGGUUUGGCAACAACAACUACAAAGGAAGCACUUCAACUGGUACUUCAACAUCUGUUGUGAGGUCUGACAACAUUAAGUUUAAAAAUAAACCUGCAGGUGGCCUGAAGUGUUUCUUUUGCAAGAAACCUGGCCACUUUAAGAAAGAUUGUGAGGGUUUCAAAGUUUGGCUAACUAAAAGAGGGAUUAUCAAGGAUAACAAUCCCAAAUAAGAAUGAAACAAGGGUGUGUUCUGGAAAUGGUCAAAGAGUAGCUGUGAAGGCUAUAGGAGUUGUCAAGUUGUUGUUUAGGAAUAAUUAUGUAUUAGAACUAAAUAAUGUGUAUUGUAUUCCUAGUAUAAAGAGAAACCUCAUAUCAGGUUCUCAAUUUGUUGCUAACAAUGGUUAUAGUUUCUCUAGUGAUAAUAAAUUAAUGUUGCUUUAUUA
This is a long non-coding RNA of Rosa chinensis, 449 nucleotides long. RefSeq lists it as uncharacterized. The transcript is spliced from 2 exons. Lineage: Eukaryota; Viridiplantae; Streptophyta; Magnoliopsida; Rosales; Rosaceae. The record is from RefSeq and is a predicted model, not a curated record.